RNAcentral lists this ribosomal RNA (471 nucleotides) under uncultured bacterium. RNAcentral describes it as "partial 16S ribosomal RNA". It matches the Rfam family "Bacterial small subunit ribosomal RNA", at positions 28 to 507 of the family's 1533-position model. The record is from RNAcentral.
GACGAACGCUGGCGGCGUGCUUAACACAUGCAAGUCGAACGAUGAAGCCUAGCUUGCUAGGUGGAUUAGUGGCGAACGGGUGAGUAAUACGUGAGUAACCUACCUUUAACUCUGGGAUAAGCCCGGGAAACUGGGUCUAAUACCGGAUACGACCAAUCUCCGCAUGGGGUGUUGGUGGAAAGCGUUAUGUAGUGGUUAUAGAUGGGCUCACGGCCUAUCAGCUUGUUGGUGAGGUAACGGCUCACCAAGGCGACGACGGGUAGCCGGCCUGAGAGGGUGACCGGCCACACUGGGACUGAGACACGGCCCAGACUCCUACGGGAGGCAGCAGUGGGGAAUAUUGCACAAUGGGCGCAAGCCUGAUGCAGCGACGCCGCGUGAGGGAUGACGGCCUUCGGGUUGUAAACCUCUGUUAGCAGGGAAGAAGAGAGGUUGACGGUACCUGCAGAGAAAGCGCCGGCUAACUACGUG